CAGAAGCUAGUGAGAACUUCAGAAUCCAUAACAAUGAAAUAAUGUGGAGGUAAAUUACCAUAAUAUACAAGGGAAUUUCUUAUCCUAGCAAUCUUCUAACUUGAUCAUGCCUAGGUGCAAAUUAUCUGUAUACUGUGAUGUCAGAAACAUAAAUUAGAUCCUACCAUGUUAGACACAGAACAUUUUUCUGAUAUAUUCAACUUUCUAUUGCUCCUAAUAUUUAUAAGUAUUUAGGAAAAAUAAGUUGUCUUAUGCAAGAUGAGUGGUGUUCUUAAACUAAUAAUUCAUGCUUGAAUUCUGAGUCAUAAUAGGCAGAACAGAAAUAUAGAAUGAAAGAAACACAUAUGU
Molecule: long non-coding RNA, 348 nt
Filed under: Bos taurus (domestic cattle)
Lineage: Eukaryota; Metazoa; Chordata; Mammalia; Artiodactyla; Bovidae
Description: long non-coding RNA NONBTAT018898
Source: RNAcentral